CAGGUUCCUGAAGGGUGGUCGUCUGAUCCUUUGUUCACACGAUUGUGGAGAUGUAAUGCGCCUUCAAAUGUGAAGUCUUUUGGUUGGAGGUUACUUUUGGACCGUGUGCCUACUAAGCUUAACCUAUGGCGCCGUAACAUUUUGCAGUCCCCUGCUGAUCUGAUAUGCAGUUUCUGUGGACAAGCGGAAGAAUCCAGUUUGCACUUAUUCUUCUCUUGUGCUUUUGCGUGGCGAGUUUGGUCCAGUUGUUAUCUUUGGCUUGGUACGCUUACUGUGUUGCCGGUUGAGAUACAGGAACAUUUUGGGCAGUUUAGUUUUGGCUGGAACAAACAGCAACAGUAUGGUGCUUCCACAGUUUGGUUAGCCGUUGUGUGGUCUUUGUGGCUGGUUCGUAACAACUGUGUCUUCCGGGACCAGGAAGCAGCUGAAAUUCAAGAGGUUAUGGAGCUGGUUAAAUGGCGCUCUUGGGUUUGGCUUAAAUCCAAUAAUGCAGAAUUUUCAAAUUCAAUGUUUGAGUGGUCUACCUCUCCCUUGUUGUGUUUACAAUCACUGUAGUAGGUGCAGAAUUUGCUGUGUAUUGCGUUUGCAGGCUGCUGGUUGGAGUUCCACGUCUGAUAUUUAGUUGCUGUCAUCUUGGGUUGCAGUUCAAUUACAUUGUGUUGGUUGGUGAUUGUUUUGUUUUGCCUGGGUUGCUGUUACGCCAAUUUGGUAUAUUUGGCUUGGUUUAUUGGGGUCUUUGGUGUUAUUGUAAGGUAUUAUCUCCAAGUGGGGUAGGUGAGGUAAUUACAGGGUGAGGACUGGUAUUAUUUGGUUUAGUUGCAGCUGUGUCUGCAGUUAAUCUCUUUAUUUAAACUUUGUCUAGUUAGUCUUUUCCUUGUUUCUGUCUUUGUUUUGGGUUGAAGUACCCCUUGUACUUCCUUUCAAUACAAUCAUGGCU
Molecule: long non-coding RNA, 937 nt
Filed under: Lotus japonicus
Lineage: Eukaryota; Viridiplantae; Streptophyta; Magnoliopsida; Fabales; Fabaceae
Description: long non-coding RNA (LJAP_LNC000941)
Source: RNAcentral